Molecule: ribosomal RNA, 339 nt
Filed under: Clostridioides difficile
Lineage: Bacteria; Bacillati; Bacillota; Clostridia; Peptostreptococcales; Peptostreptococcaceae
Description: partial 23S ribosomal RNA
Rfam family: Bacterial large subunit ribosomal RNA
Source: RNAcentral
AAGCAGCCACUCAUUCAAAGAGUGCGUAAUAGCUCACUGGUCGAGUGAUCCUGCGCCGAAGAUUUCCGGGGCUAAAACUUACUACCGAAGCUACGGCAUCAUUAUGAUGGGUAGGGGAGCUUACCAUACGGGUUGAAGCAUGACCGUAAGGACAUGUGGACAGUAUGGGAGUGAGAAGGUUGGCAUGAGUAGCGAGAUGUGGGUGAGAAUCCCACAGGCCGUAAACCCAAGGUUUCCAGGGGAAGGUUCGUCCGCCCUGGGUUAGUCGGGACCUAAGCUGAGGCCGAAAGGCGUAGGUGAUGGACAACAGGUUGAUAUUCCUGUACUACCGAUAACCGU